AUCAAAAGAUCUGGCAUGCCU
RNAcentral lists this non-coding RNA (21 nucleotides) under Arabidopsis thaliana (thale cress). Lineage: Eukaryota; Viridiplantae; Streptophyta; Magnoliopsida; Brassicales; Brassicaceae. The record is from RNAcentral.